RNAcentral lists this long non-coding RNA (890 nucleotides) under Malus domestica (apple). RNAcentral describes it as "long non-coding RNA (MDOM_LNC006909)". Lineage: Eukaryota; Viridiplantae; Streptophyta; Magnoliopsida; Rosales; Rosaceae. The record is from RNAcentral.
GCCGAGGGUCCAUUCCAAUAACACCGAUAAAGUCCUCACUUUAGCACUUGCCCAAUCUUCAGAUGUGGGGUUUUAUCACAAAAGGUCUCGGUGUUAGUUAUAGUGGGGUAAUUCUAUAUAAAUGGGUUCUCUUCUUCCCUCAUGGCCGAUGUGAGAAAUUGGAGGUUCCAACAAUUAGGAUUUGUCUACUGAAUAAAAUCUGCAAUAGAGUAUGUCCGCCUAACAAAAUUUGCCUGCCUGUUUGAAUCUAUCUGCCAACCGUCAUCUGAAUCUGUAUCCAUCUGUCAUGUGUUUGAAUAUGAAAUCUACCUGCCUAUUCACGUAGCGUAGACCUGACAUUCAUAUCAUGUUUCUCGUGUUCAUGUCAUUUUCGUGUCAUACCUGAUAGCUUAACGAGUUGUGUCGUGUAAUAUCCAUUAAAGUAAACAGGUAAUAUGACACGACCCGAAAUCAACCCGUUAAUAUUAUCAGGUAAUAUGACCCGACCUGUUACCCGUUAAGAAAAAUAUAUUUUAAAUCAAUAAAAAUGAAAAUGAAAAACAUAAUUUGACCCAAAAAAUGUAAAAUAUAAUACUAAAUUAGUAUAUACAUACUAAAUUUCAAAGUUGACCCCUUCAUGAAAGUUGUAAAGCUUUUCAUUACGAGUGAUUACAUUUUUCACACUUCUACAAUAAUUAUUAUUAAUUUUGCACUCAAAUAAAAAACAUUGUUCAUGAGAUUUGGAGGGUUUUAAAAAUCUAAACGACCAUGUAACCAUCAUCUAAGCGUUGAUGAUGCAAUUAUGAACGUUUAUUAUGCUUUCAUAUAUUUCAGACUUAUAAAUUAAUGAUAAUGAAUUCUGUUUAUUUUGAACUCCCUUUAAAAUACUAUUCAUGAGAAUUUGUGUGGUU